GUAUAUUGUUUUAUAGGCUUAGAGCCCAUUGACUACAUUCUUCAUUAUACGAUUGGGGUGUAUAAAGUACAUAGACCUGGAAAUUCAAAGAGAGCCGGUCUUGCGACACGGCAAUCCCUGCAUCCGCUUGUGAUAAGCGAGAGUUACCCAGAUCUACAUUUGGUGCACAGGUGGAAAGAUAAAAAUGACGGGUGUGCACAUGCUCCUAGAAGCCAGCUACAACCAACGCCAUAGAUAUUCAUUAAUGAUCCUUCCGCAGGUUCACCUACGGAAA
RNAcentral lists this unclassified non-coding RNA (274 nucleotides) under uncultured fungus. Its description in RNAcentral is "sequence contains ITS1". The record is from RNAcentral. Lineage: Eukaryota; Fungi.